Brassica rapa (field mustard) is the source of this 1299-nucleotide long non-coding RNA. RefSeq lists it as uncharacterized. The record is from RefSeq and is a predicted model, not a curated record. Lineage: Eukaryota; Viridiplantae; Streptophyta; Magnoliopsida; Brassicales; Brassicaceae.
AUGAUGAUCAAAGAGAUUUGGAACCUUUGUUGUCUUCAUUUCUCUAGAAAAUGUCAAUUUUAUAAUGGUUAAUCCACUAAUUUAUGAAGUAUAUGAAGUUUUACAAAAUUAAUUUAUAAAACAAAAUUGAACGAUGCUCAUGUACCAUGAAAGAUAAUUUAGCAUACAUUAAUACAAAUUUAAAAUGUAGUUAGAAAUUUUAAAACAACUCUAAAGAUUAUAUGUUUCAGUAUAUCAAGCAAUUACCAAAAAUUCGAUAUUUUCGUAGGGGUUAACACAUAGAUUUUGAGAAAAUUUCAAAAAAUAUGACAAUACUGUUUUAAUGCAUAGUUGCAUCCUGCACUAACAUAUGAUGAUCUUCAAAUAUGUUUGGAGCCUUCGAUGUCUCGGUUUUCAAGAAAUUAAUAAUUUUAUAGUGGUUAUUCCACCGAUUUAGAGAGUAUUAUAAAGUUUUACUAAAUUAAUUGAUAAAAAAAAUUAUAACGAUUCCCAUAUACCACGAAAGAGUGUUUAACAUACAUCAAUACAAAUGGAGAAUGUGGUUAGAAAAUUUAAAACAACACUAAAAAAUAUAAGCUUCAGUAUAUAUAGCGUUUAACGUGAAACUCAAUGUUUCGUAGGAGUUAACACAUAGAUUUUGAGAAAAAUUCAAAAAAUAUAACAAUAUUGCUUUAAUGCAUAGUUGCCUCUUGUACUAAUAUAUGCUGAUUAUCAAAGAGGUUUGGAAGCUUUGUUUUCUCCAUUUCUGUAGAGAAUAGCGAUUUUAUAAUGGUUUGUCCACUAAUUUAGGGAGUAUAUGGAGUUUUACAGAAUUAAUCUCUAAAAAAAAUUGAAAGACGCCCAUGAACCAUUAAAAAGAGUUUAGCAUACAUUAAUACAAAUGUAGAAUGUUGUUAGAAAUUUUAAAACAACACUAAAGAAUUUAUGUUUCAGUAUAUCAAGCAAUUACCAAAAACUCAAUAUUUUCGUAGGGGUUAACACAUAGAUUUUAAGAAAAUUUCAAAAAAUAUGACAAUAUUGUUUUAAUGCAUAGUUGCUCCUGCACUAUACAUGUAUGAUGAUAUUCAAAGAUGUUUGGAGCCUUCGAUGUCUCCGUUUUUCAAGAAAUUAGCGAUUUUAUAGUGGUUAGUUCCACCGAUUUAGGGAGUAUAUAAGGUUUUACUAAUUAAUUGAUAAAAAAUUAUAGCAAUUUCCAUAUACCACGAAAGAGAGUUUACAUACAUUAAUAAAAUGUAGAAUGUGGUUAGAAAUUUUAAAACAACACUAAAGAGUAUAAACUUUAGUAUAUAGAGCGUUUAC